AUUGAACGCUGGCGGCAGGCCUAACACAUGCAAGUCGAGCGGAUGACGGGAGCUUGCUCCUGGAUUCAACGGCGGACGGGUGCGUAAUGCCUAGGAAUCUGCCUGGUAGUGGGGGAUAACGUCCGGCAACGGGCGCUAAUACCGCAUACGUCCUGCGGGCGAAAGUGGGGGAUCUUCGGACCUCACGCUAUCCGAUGAGCCUAGGUCGGAUUAGCUAGUUGGUGGGGUAAAGGCCUACCAAGGCGACGAUCCGUAACUGGUCUGAGAGGAUGAUCAGUCACACGGGAACUGGGAAAGGGUCCAGACUCCUACGGGAGGCAGCAGGGGGGAAUAUUGGACAAGGGGCGAAAGCCUGAUCCAGCAAGGCCGGGUGGGUGAAGAAGGUCUUCGGAUGGUAAAGCACUUUAAGUUGGGAGGAAGGGCAGUAAGUUAAUACCGUGCUGUUUUGACGGUACCAACAGAAUAAGCACCGGCUAACUUCGUG
This 484-nucleotide ribosomal RNA is filed under the name uncultured bacterium. RNAcentral's name for it is "partial 16S ribosomal RNA". It matches the Rfam family "Bacterial small subunit ribosomal RNA", at positions 30 to 507 of the family's 1533-position model. The record is from RNAcentral.